UGGGGAAUCUUGCACAAUGGGGGGAACCCUGAUGCAGCGACGCCGCGUGAGCGAUGAAGCCCUUCGGGGUGUAAAGCUCUUUCGGCAGGGAAGAUAAUGACGGUACCUGCAGAAGCAGCUGCGGCUAACUACGUGCCAGCAGCCGCGGUAAUACGUAGGCAGCGAGCGUUGUUCGGAGUUACUGGGCGUAAAGGGUGUGUAGGCGGUUGUUUAAGUUUGGUGUGAAAUCUCCCGGCUCAACUGGGAGGGUGCGCCGAAUACUGAAUGACUUCGAGUGCGGGGAGAGGAAAGUGGAAUUCCUGGUGUAGCGGUGAAAUGCGUAGAUAUCAGGAGGAACACCGGUGGUGUAGACGGCUUUCUGGACCGUAACUGACGCUGAGACACGAAAGCGUGGGUAGCAAACAGGAUUAGAUACCCUGGUAGUCCACGCCCUAAACGAUGCAUAUUUGGUGUUGGGCAAUUCAUUCUGUCCGUGCCGGAGCUAACGCGUUAAAUA
Molecule: ribosomal RNA, 496 nt
Filed under: uncultured Acidobacteriota bacterium
Lineage: Bacteria; Pseudomonadati; Acidobacteriota
Description: bacterial SSU rRNA
Rfam family: Bacterial small subunit ribosomal RNA
Source: RNAcentral